AACGAACGCUGGCGGCAGGCCUAACACAUGCAAGUCGAACGCCGUAGCAAUACGGAGUGGCAGACGGGUGAGUAACGCGUGGGAACCUACCUUACGGUCGGGAAUAGCUCAGGGAAACUUGGGGUAAUAUCGGAUACGCCCUUACGGGGAAAGAUUUAUCGCCGUUAGAUGGGCCCGCGUAGGAUUAGCUAGUUGGUGAGGUAAUGGCUCACCAAGGAGACAAUCCUUAGCUGGUCUGAGAGGAUGAUCAGCAACACUGGGACUGAGACACGGCCCAGACUCCUACGGGAGGGAGCAGUGGGGAAUAUUGGACAAUGGGCGCAAGCCUGAUCCAGCCAUGCCGCGUGAGUGACGAAGGCCUUAGGGUUGUAAAGCUCUUUUGGCGGGGAAGAUAAUGACGGUACCCGCAGAAUAAGCUCCGGCUAACUUCGUGCCAGCCGCCGCAGUAA
This 449-nucleotide ribosomal RNA is filed under the name uncultured bacterium. RNAcentral describes it as "partial 16S ribosomal RNA". It matches the Rfam family "Bacterial small subunit ribosomal RNA", at positions 29 to 523 of the family's 1533-position model. The record is from RNAcentral.